GCUAGCGUUGUUCGGAAUCACUGGGCGUAAAGCGCCCGUAGGCGGAUUUGUCAGUCAGGGGUGAAAUCCCGGGGCUCAACCUCGGAACUGCCUUUGAUACAGCAAGUCUUGAGUUCGAGAGAGGUGGGUGGAAUUCCUAGUGUAGAGGUGAAAUUCGUAGAUAUUAGGAAGAACACCGGUGGCGAAGGCGGCCCACUGGCUCGAUACUGACGCUGAGGUGCGAAAGCGUGGGGAGCAAACAGG
RNAcentral lists this ribosomal RNA (243 nucleotides) under uncultured bacterium. RNAcentral describes it as "partial 16S ribosomal RNA". It matches the Rfam family "Bacterial small subunit ribosomal RNA", at positions 534 to 776 of the family's 1533-position model. The record is from RNAcentral.